UUUUUUUUUUUUUUUUUUUUUUUUUUUUUUUUUUUAAAAAAAUUUUUUUUUUUGUCUUUCAUUUUUUUUUCAUUGAUUUUCUUUAAUUUAGUUAAUUGUACCGUGAGGGAUAAUUAAAUUUUAUUGUAGAAUAAUUAUUUUUUUUAGUACCUUUUGUAUCAGGGUUAAUUAAUUUUUUUAAUUUAUUUUAAUUUCCCGAAAAUUUAAGAUUUACUUUGAUCUUUACUUUAAUGUUGAAUAGUUAUUUAAAAGAUUUUAGUUGUUUUGAAAUGAAAUUCGUUUAAUUUUAUAUCUGGUUACCCAGGAAACUGAUUUAAUCAGGGAUUUUUAUUUGUUUCUUUAUUAUUUAUUUUCAUUUUAAUAUCUCAUAUCAAAGUGGAUAAGCUCUUUUUUAAAAUAUAAUUUAUAUUAACUUUUUUUUUUGUUGGAUUGAAAUCUUUCUUCAUUUUAAGUUCGUUAAAGAUUAAUAAUUUGUUUUUUUUAUAUUUAUUUAUAUACUGGGUUUUUUAAUAAUUUUUUAGGUUUUAAUAAUGAUUAUAUUAGUAGAUUUAAAAAUUUAUUUUAUGAACUAGGCAAAAAAUAUUUCCGCCUGUUUAUCAAAAACAUGUCUUUCAGUUUAUUAUUGAAGGUUUGACCUGCUCAAUGUAAUAUAAAUAGCCGCAGUAUUUUGACUGUGCUAAGGUAGCAUAAUAAUUAGUCUUUUAAUUGAGGUCUUGAAUGAAAGGUUGGACGAGAAAUAUACUUUAUUGUUUAAAUUUUAUUUGAAUUUUAUUUUUUAGUAAAAAAGCUAAAUUGUUGAAGAGGGACGAUAAGACCCUAUAGAUCUUUAUUUUUUCCUGAUUUUAUUUUUUAUAGUUUAUUUUAAAGUUUCUUUAGUGAUAAAUUUUACUGGGGUGGUAAAUAAAAUUUUAAUCUUUAUUUUUUUUUUACAUUUUUUUAUGUUAUUUUGAUCCUUUUUUUUGAUUAUAAGAUUAAGAUACCUUAGGGAUAACAGCGUUAUGAUUCUGGAGAGUUCACAUUGAUAGAAUUGUUUGCGACCUCGAUGUUGGAUUAAAAAUUUCUGUGGGGCAGGUUUCAUAGUUUAGGGUCUGUUCGACCUUUAAAAUUUUACAUGAUCUGAGUUCAAGCCGGCGUGAGCCAGGUUGGUUUCUAUCUUCUUUAUUUAUUAUUCUAAUUGGUACGAAAGGAUUUUUAGAAAUGUAAUAGUUUAUUU
RNAcentral lists this ribosomal RNA (1213 nucleotides) under Neoalcathous huangshanana. Its description in RNAcentral is "large subunit ribosomal RNA". The stretch from base 800 to 1158 matches the Rfam family "Archaeal large subunit ribosomal RNA", at positions 2151 to 2715 of the family's 2987-position model. The record is from RNAcentral. Lineage: Eukaryota; Metazoa; Arthropoda; Insecta; Hemiptera; Fulgoridae.